RNAcentral lists this non-coding RNA (89 nucleotides) under Lachnospiraceae bacterium M18-1. RNAcentral describes it as "c-di-GMP-I riboswitch aptamer". It matches the Rfam family "c-di-GMP-I riboswitch aptamer". From Rfam's summary of the family: GEMM was predicted in a large-scale screen for bacterial structured RNA regulatory elements. Genes associated with GEMM are involved in a diverse array of functions, including chemotaxis regulation, signal transduction, secretion and chitin. The record is from Rfam by way of RNAcentral. RNAcentral also lists the same sequence under 1 other name. Lineage: Bacteria; Bacillati; Bacillota; Clostridia; Lachnospirales; Lachnospiraceae.
UAAUUUAAUUAGCAAACCGCCGGAAACGGCGGGACGCAAAGCUAUGGGGACUUAGACGCUUGAAGCGUGAUGUCAGCCCGGCUGCUAAU